GCGUGUGUCGUAUAGUCAGGUUAUUACCUCUGGCUUCCACCCAGAUGACUAGGGUUCGAAUCCCUACACCCGCACCA
This 77-nucleotide transfer RNA is filed under the name compost metagenome. RNAcentral describes it as "tRNA-Gly". It matches the Rfam family "tRNA". Rfam says of the family: Transfer RNA (tRNA) molecules are approximately 80 nucleotides in length. Their secondary structure includes four short double-helical elements and three loops (D, anti-codon, and T loops). The record is from RNAcentral.